Molecule: transfer RNA, 72 nt
Filed under: Lachnospiraceae bacterium
Lineage: Bacteria; Bacillati; Bacillota; Clostridia; Lachnospirales; Lachnospiraceae
Also listed under: 2 other names
Description: tRNA-Gly
Rfam family: tRNA
About the family: Transfer RNA (tRNA) molecules are approximately 80 nucleotides in length. Their secondary structure includes four short double-helical elements and three loops (D, anti-codon, and T loops).
Source: RNAcentral
GCGCGAGUGGCUCAGCGGUGGAGCACAACCUUGCCAAGGUUGGGGUCGCGGGUUCGAUCCCCGUCUCGCGCU